This 496-nucleotide ribosomal RNA is filed under the name uncultured bacterium. RNAcentral describes it as "partial 16S ribosomal RNA". It matches the Rfam family "Bacterial small subunit ribosomal RNA", at positions 29 to 507 of the family's 1533-position model. The record is from RNAcentral.
AUGAACGCUGGCGGCGUGCCUAAUACCUGCAAGUCGAGCGCACAGACGAGGAGCUUGCUCCUCUGACGUUAGCGGCGGACGGGUGAGUAACACGUGGAUAACCUACCUAUAAGACUGGGAUAACUUCGGGAAACCGGAGCUAAUACCGGAUAAUAUAUUGAACCGCAUGGUUCAAUAGUGAAAGACGGUUUUGCUGUCACUUAUAGAUGGAUCCGCGCCGCAUUAGCUAGUUGGUAAGGUAACGGCUUACCAAGGCAACGAUGCGUAGCCGACCUGAGAGGGUGAUCGGCCACACUGGAACUGAGACACGGUCCAGACUCCUACGGGAGGCAGCAGUAGGGAAUCUUCCGCAAUGGGCGAAAGCUUGACGGAGCAACGCCGCGUGAGUGAUGAAGGUCUUCGGAUCGUAAAACUCUGUUAUUAGGGAAGAACAAAUGUGUAAGUAACUAUGCACGUCUUGACGGUACCUAAUCAGAAAGCCACGGCUAGCUACGUG